RNAcentral lists this ribosomal RNA (1544 nucleotides) under Salmonella enterica subsp. enterica serovar Gallinarum/Pullorum str. RKS5078. Its description in RNAcentral is "Salmonella enterica subsp. enterica serovar Gallinarum/pullorum str. RKS5078 16S ribosomal RNA". It matches the Rfam family "Bacterial small subunit ribosomal RNA". The record is from RNAcentral. Lineage: Bacteria; Pseudomonadati; Pseudomonadota; Gammaproteobacteria; Enterobacterales; Enterobacteriaceae.
UUAAAUUGAAGAGUUUGAUCAUGGCUCAGAUUGAACGCUGGCGGCAGGCCUAACACAUGCAAGUCGAACGGUAACAGGAAGCAGCUUGCUGCUUUGCUGACGAGUGGCGGACGGGUGAGUAAUGUCUGGGAAACUGCCUGAUGGAGGGGGAUAACUACUGGAAACGGUGGCUAAUACCGCAUAACGUCGCAAGACCAAAGAGGGGGACCUUCGGGCCUCUUGCCAUCAGAUGUGCCCAGAUGGGAUUAGCUUGUUGGUGAGGUAACGGCUCACCAAGGCGACGAUCCCUAGCUGGUCUGAGAGGAUGACCAGCCACACUGGAACUGAGACACGGUCCAGACUCCUACGGGAGGCAGCAGUGGGGAAUAUUGCACAAUGGGCGCAAGCCUGAUGCAGCCAUGCCGCGUGUAUGAAGAAGGCCUUCGGGUUGUAAAGUACUUUCAGCGGGGAGGAAGGUGUUGUGGUUAAUAACCGCAGCAAUUGACGUUACCUGCAGAAGAAGCACCGGCUAACUCCGUGCCAGCAGCCGCGGUAAUACGGAGGGUGCAAGCGUUAAUCGGAAUUACUGGGCGUAAAGCGCACGCAGGCGGUCUGUCAAGUCGGAUGUGAAAUCCCCGGGCUCAACCUGGGAACUGCAUUCGAAACUGGCAGGCUUGAGUCUUGUAGAGGGGGGUAGAAUUCCAGGUGUAGCGGUGAAAUGCGUAGAGAUCUGGAGGAAUACCGGUGGCGAAGGCGGCCCCCUGGACAAAGACUGACGCUCAGGUGCGAAAGCGUGGGGAGCAAACAGGAUUAGAUACCCUGGUAGUCCACGCCGUAAACGAUGUCUACUUGGAGGUUGUGCCCUUGAGGCGUGGCUUCCGGAGCUAACGCGUUAAGUAGACCGCCUGGGGAGUACGGCCGCAAGGUUAAAACUCAAAUGAAUUGACGGGGGCCCGCACAAGCGGUGGAGUAUGUGGUUUAAUUCGAUGCAACGCGAAGAACCUUACCUGGUCUUGACAUCCACAGAAGAAUCCAGAGAUGGAUUUGUGCCUUCGGGAACUGUGAGACAGGUGCUGCAUGGCUGUCGUCAGCUCGUGUUGUGAAAUGUUGGGUUAAGUCCCGCAACGAGCGCAACCCUUAUCCUUUGUUGCCAGCGAUUAGGUCGGGAACUCAAAGGAGACUGCCAGUGAUAAACUGGAGGAAGGUGGGGAUGACGUCAAGUCAUCAUGGCCCUUACGACCAGGGCUACACACGUGCUACAAUGGCGCAUACAAAGAGAAGCGACCUCGCGAGAGCAAGCGGACCUCAUAAAGUGCGUCGUAGUCCGGAUUGGAGUCUGCAACUCGACUCCAUGAAGUCGGAAUCGCUAGUAAUCGUGGAUCAGAAUGCCACGGUGAAUACGUUCCCGGGCCUUGUACACACCGCCCGUCACACCAUGGGAGUGGGUUGCAAAAGAAGUAGGUAGCUUAACCUUCGGGAGGGCGCUUACCACUUUGUGAUUCAUGACUGGGGUGAAGUCGUAACAAGGUAACCGUAGGGGAACCUGCGGUUGGAUCACCUCCUUA